RNAcentral lists this ribosomal RNA (1156 nucleotides) under Escherichia coli. RNAcentral describes it as "partial 23S ribosomal RNA". It matches the Rfam family "Bacterial large subunit ribosomal RNA", at positions 174 to 1369 of the family's 2925-position model. The record is from RNAcentral. Lineage: Bacteria; Pseudomonadati; Pseudomonadota; Gammaproteobacteria; Enterobacterales; Enterobacteriaceae.
AUGAGGCGAACCGGGGGAACUGAAACAUCUAAGUACCCCGAGGAAAAGAAAUCAACCGAGAUUCCCCCAGUAGCGGCGAGCGAACGGGGAGCAGCCCAGAGCCUGAAUCAGUAUGUGUGUUAGUGGAAGCGUCUGGAAAGGCGCGCGAUACAGGGUGACAGCCCCGUACACAAAAAUGCACAUAUUGUGAGCUCGAUGAGUAGGGCGGGACACGUGGUAUCCUGUCUGAAUAUGGGGGGACCAUCCUCCAAGGCUAAAUACUCCUGACUGACCGAUAGUGAACCAGUACCGUGAGGGAAAGGCGAAAAGAACCCCGGCGAGGGGAGUGAAAAAGAACCUGAAACCGUGUACGUACAAGCAGUGGGAGCACGCUUAGGCGUGUGACUGCGUACCUUUUGUAUAAUGGGUCAGCGACUUAUAUUCUGUAGCAAGGUUAACCGAAUAGGGGAGCCGAAGGGAAACCGAGUCUUAACUGGGCGUUAAGUUGCAGGGUAUAGACCCGAAACCCGGUGAUCUAGCCAUGGGCAGGUUGAAGGUUGGGUAACACUAACUGGAGGACCGAACCGACUAAUGUUGAAAAAUUAGCGGAUGACUUGUGGCUGGGGGUGAAAGGCCAAUCAAACCGGGAGAUAGCUGGUUCUCCCCGAAAGCUAUUUAGGUAGCGCCUCGUGAAUUCAUCUCCGGGGGUAGAGCACUGUUUCGGCAAGGGGGUCAUCCCGACUUACCAACCCGAUGCAAACUGCGAAUACCGGAGAAUGUUAUCACGGGAGACACACGGCGGGUGCUAACGUCCGUCGUGAAGAGGGAAACAACCCAGACCGCCAGCUAAGGUCCCAAAGUCAUGGUUAAGUGGGAAACGAUGUGGGAAGGCCCAGACAGCCAGGAUGUUGGCUUAGAAGCAGCCAUCAUUUAAAGAAAGCGUAAUAGCUCACUGGUCGAGUCGGCCUGCGCGGAAGAUGUAACGGGGCUAAACCAUGCACCGAAGCUGCGGCAGCGACACUAUGUGUUGUUGGGUAGGGGAGCGUUCUGUAAGCCUGUGAAGGUGGCCUGUGAGGGUUGCUGGAGGUAUCAGAAGUGCGAAUGCUGACAUAAGUAACGAUAAAGCGGGUGAAAAGCCCGCUCGCCGGAAGACCAAGGGUUCCUGUCCAACGUUAAU